Molecule: ribosomal RNA, 120 nt
Filed under: uncultured bacterium
Lineage: Bacteria
Description: partial 16S ribosomal RNA
Rfam family: Bacterial small subunit ribosomal RNA
Source: RNAcentral
AACGAACGCUGGCGGCGUGGAUAAGACAUGCAAGUCGAGCGCUAUACUCAUUGUAGCAAUAUAGUGAGUGUGGAGCGGCGCAAGGGUGCGUAACACGUGGGUAAUUUGCCAUGAAGUUGG